CCUCUACAUUUCCACAUCACAAAGCUUGCAAGACACACACUCGUCUCAGACAGUUUGUAUGGCCCCAAAUUAAAUAUUGUAAAAGAUUGACAAAUACACACUUCUGCUGUUAAUGAAAGGCAGUAUUAGGCAGAUGCCAUUGCAUCACCUAAUUCUAAUUUGGUUUCUGGACGGAAUCAUGGGCUCAUCACCACAGAAGCCUCUGGAGUGGCACCUUCCAGUUCAGUAGAGGUUGCACAUAAGUCUGAACUGGAAGGUUUGGUUCUGGUAAGUAAAUUCUUCCUUCACCAAAGCCAAUGGGAAUUUCAUCACUAACUUUGUGGGAACAACCUCACCAUGGUGAAUCUUGGGCAAUUUCUGGAUUGUUUGAAACUCGGAGGGAAAAGGGUUACAGAUGCUUUAACAGCC
Molecule: long non-coding RNA, 408 nt
Filed under: Zonotrichia albicollis (white-throated sparrow)
Lineage: Eukaryota; Metazoa; Chordata; Aves; Passeriformes; Passerellidae
Description: lncRNA (ENSZALG00000017695.1)
Source: RNAcentral